This 393-nucleotide ribosomal RNA is filed under the name uncultured bacterium. RNAcentral's name for it is "partial 16S ribosomal RNA". It matches the Rfam family "Bacterial small subunit ribosomal RNA", at positions 523 to 918 of the family's 1533-position model. The record is from RNAcentral.
AUACGGAGGAUGCGAGCGUUAUCCGGAUUUAUUGGGUUUAAAGGGUGCGUAGGCUGUGCGUUAAGUCAGGGGUGAAAUGCCGUCGCUCAACGACGGAGCUGCCCUUGAUACUGGCGUGCUGGAGUACGGAUGCCGUUGGAGGAAUGAGUGGUGUAGCGGUGGAAUGCUUAGAUAUCACUCAGAACACCGAUUGCGAAGGCAUCUGACGAAUCCGUCACUGACGCUGAGGCACGAAAGCGUGGGGAUAGAACAGGAUUAGAUACCCUGGUAUUCCACGCCGUAAACGAUGAUGACUAACCGUCGGCGAUAGACAGCCGGUGGCCAAGCGAAAGCGAUAAGUCAUCCACCUGGGGAGUACGUCGGCAACGAUGAAACUCAAAGGAAUUGACGGGG